AUAUUCCGAGGCCGGGAUGUGACACUCCUCUACAGCCAGCUGCAGGUCUUCUUCUCCAGCGUGCUGUGUGCCAAGCCCAGGAGCAGCCGGAACUCCAGCAUCGAGGCCUUCGCUGUCUGUCAGGGCUAUGACCCUCCCGAGGGCUUCAUCCCGGACCUGAGCAAACCCCUGCUGGACCAUUCUUACGACCCAGAUUUCAACCAGCUGGAUGGUCCCACCCGCAUCAUUGUGCCUUUUGUGACCUGUGGGGACCUGAGCUCCUAUGAUUCGGACCGCAGUUACCCACUGGACCUAGAGGGCAGCUCAGAGUACAAGUACACUCCACCCACACAGCCCCCCAUCUCACCACCAUACCAGGAGGCCUGCACGUUGAAGAAGAAGGGGCAGCUGGCCAAGGAGAUCCGCCCCCAGGACUGCCCCAUCAGCAGAGUGGACACGUUUUCCCAGCCCCUGGCCGCCCCUCAGUGCCACACCCUGCUGGCCCCUGAGGUCUGGAAAUGUGACUCUCAGCCUGCCUUGACCCCUUCCCCGUGUGCCUUUUUCUGACCCAAAUCUCAUGGUUUCUGGGGCCAAAAUUCCCUUUCCUGCCUCCCAAUAGCUAUAAAAAAUUGGUAAAGCCAAGCAUAAUGAAUGGAAAAGUUUUGCCAAAUAUGUGAGUCACUUUUCUUUUUCUUGGGUAGAUGGAAGACAAUGAAAUGAGUUGUUCACCUUAACCCAUUAUGCUGGCAAGCUGAUACAACUCAGAAACUGCUCAAUGUCAGGAAAACCGGAACUUGUUAAUGAACUUGUUUUCAAAAUAUCAU
This 803-nucleotide small RNA is filed under the name Pongo abelii (Sumatran orangutan). RNAcentral describes it as "processed transcript". The record is from RNAcentral. Lineage: Eukaryota; Metazoa; Chordata; Mammalia; Primates; Hominidae.